Molecule: ribosomal RNA, 902 nt
Filed under: Raffaelea sp.
Lineage: Eukaryota; Fungi; Ascomycota; Sordariomycetes; Ophiostomatales; Ophiostomataceae
Description: partial large subunit ribosomal RNA
Rfam family: Eukaryotic large subunit ribosomal RNA
Source: RNAcentral
AUAUCAAUAAGCGGAGGAAAAGAAACCAACAGGGAUUGCCCCAGUAACGGCGAGUGAAGCGGCAACAGCUCAAAUUUGAAAGCUGGCGCCCCCCCCCGGGGCGCCCGCGUUGUACUUUGGAGAGGACGCUUGGGGCGCGGCGCCUGCCGAGUUCCUUGGAACAGGACGCCACAGAGGGUGAGAGCCCCGUACGGUGGGACGCCUAGCCCGUGCCAAGCUCCUUCGACGAGUCGAGUAGUUUGGGAAUGCUGCUCAAAAUGGGAGGUAAAUUUCUUCUAAAGCUAAAUACCGGCCAGAGACCGAUAGCGCACAAGUAGAGUGAUCGAAAGAUGAAAAGCACUUUGAAAAGAGGGUUAAACAGCACGUGAAAUUGUUGAAAGGGAAGCGCCUGUGGCCAGACGUGCCCCCCGCGGACCCCCCGGCGCCCCGGCGCCGGGCCACGCCAGCGGGGGGCAGGCCAGCAUCGGCUUCCCCAGGGGGACAAAGGCCGCGGGAACGUAGCUCCUCCGGGAGUGUUAUAGCCCGCGGCGCCAUGCCCCUGGGGGGGCCGAGGACCGCGCUACGGCAAGGAUGCUGGCGUAAUGGCCACCGGCGACCCGUCUUGAAACACGGACCAAGGAGUCAAGCAUUGGGGCGAGUGUCUGGGUGCCAAACCCGCACGCGCAAUGAAAGUGAACGCAGGUGGGAGCUACGGCGCACCACCGACCGAUCCGGAUGUCCUCUGAUGGAUUUGAGUAGGAGCCCCGCCGCUUGGACCCGAAAGAUGGUGAACUAUGCCUGUAUAGGGUGAAGCCAGAGGAAACUCUGGUGGAGGCUCGCAGCGGUUCUGACGUGCAAAUCGAUCGUCAAAUAUGGGCAUGGGGGCGAAAGACUAAUCGAACCAUCUAGUAGCUGGUUACCGC